UACGUAGGUGGCAAGCGUUGUCCGGAUUUACUGGGCGUAAAGAGCACGCAGGCGGUUUGGCAAGUCGGAUGUGAAAACCCGGAGCUCAACUCCGGGCGUGCAUCCGAUACUGCCCGACUAGAGGUAGGUAGGGGAGAUCGGAAUUCCUGGUGUAGCGGUGAAAUGCGCAGAUAUCAGGAGGAACACCGGUGGCGAAGGCGGAUCUCUGGGCCUUACCUGACGCUCAGGUGCGAAAGCUAGGGGAGCAAACAGG
RNAcentral lists this ribosomal RNA (253 nucleotides) under uncultured bacterium. RNAcentral's name for it is "partial 16S ribosomal RNA". It matches the Rfam family "Bacterial small subunit ribosomal RNA", at positions 524 to 776 of the family's 1533-position model. The record is from RNAcentral.